Molecule: long non-coding RNA, 635 nt
Organism: Anopheles funestus (African malaria mosquito)
Lineage: Eukaryota; Metazoa; Arthropoda; Insecta; Diptera; Culicidae
Exons: 3
Source: RefSeq, a predicted model, not a curated record
GAAUGAAUUAGAUUUUUGUUGAGCUCCAGGCAAACCAUUUUCCGUACGUUCUUUGUUAGCAUAAUGUCUGGCAAAUUUCAUAAAACUUACAGGGCUAUUACGAAACGCAAACGGAAAUUUCGCAAACGGAAAGUCACAAUUCAAACGGAAAGCAAAUUUGCAUUAUGGUUGCUCGUUGGAGUUUAUGAAAGCUUCAUCGACUUUUUUCUUGGAUCAAUCAAUCUGUCAAGAUGAAAACCAUAAACAAAAUUCAAAAUAGCAGUUCGUCGAGAGAAGCAACUGUAUGAUUUUUUUAACAAAAUUUGAGUUUUGAAGUCGCAAAUCUCAUCACCACUGUUGUAUUUCGUGUGAAUAAUGAGUUACAAAAGAAGUGGACACCUCCGUAUUCACUUUUUUAUAAUCAAUUCUCAAGAAAAUUGUACUUUCCGUUGCUUUCGGCUGACGGAAAAUUUUCUCUCUAACGGGGUUUCCGUUUGGCACAGGUAAUGCAAAUUUUUUACUUUCCGUUUGUCAUCAAGUUAUCAUUGAUUUUUGAAACGUCUGAUGUGCCAAACGGAGAGCCAAACGGAAAGUCAUAAUACGAAAGGCAACUUUGUGUGACGUUUGAAAAGAUGUUUGCGUUUCAUAAUAGCCCU